Molecule: ribosomal RNA, 120 nt
Filed under: uncultured bacterium
Lineage: Bacteria
Description: partial 16S ribosomal RNA
Rfam family: Bacterial small subunit ribosomal RNA
Source: RNAcentral
GCGCUAUGAGAUGAGCCUACGUCCGAUUAGCUAGUUGGUAGGGUAAUGGCCUACCAAGGCGACGAUCGGUAGCUGGUCUGAGAGGACGAUCAGCCACACUGGAACUGAGACACGGUCCAG